RNAcentral lists this small RNA (28 nucleotides) under Bombyx mori (domestic silkworm). RNAcentral describes it as "ovarian small RNA-24894". Lineage: Eukaryota; Metazoa; Arthropoda; Insecta; Lepidoptera; Bombycidae. The record is from RNAcentral.
UCAAUGUGCGCGCCUGCGGGCUCCUUGU